CUAACUACGUGCCAGCAGCCGCGGUAAUACGUAGGGGGCCAGCGUUGCUCGGAAUUACUGGGCGUAAAGGGUCCGUAGGCGGUGUGGCAAGUCGGGAGUGAAAUCUAUGGGCUUAACCCAGAGGCUGCUUCCGAAACUGCCAUGCUAGAGUGUGAGAGAGGCGAGUGGAAUUACGGGUGUAGCGGUGAAAUGCGUAGAUAUCCGUAGGAACAUCCGAGGCGAAGGCGGCUCGCUGGAUCACAACUGACGCUGAGGGACGAAAGCUAGGGGAGCAAACAGGAUUAGAUACNNUGGUAGUCCUAGCCCUAAACCAUCAUGACUUGGGGUUUGCCCUGUACGGGGCAAGUCCCGUAGCUAACGCG
Molecule: ribosomal RNA, 362 nt
Filed under: uncultured bacterium
Lineage: Bacteria
Description: bacterial SSU rRNA
Rfam family: Bacterial small subunit ribosomal RNA
Source: RNAcentral